RNA transcript from Oncorhynchus kisutch (coho salmon), 4724 nucleotides. It is a transcript of the gene named BRCA1-A complex subunit RAP80, with no coding region annotated. NCBI's taxonomy places the organism in Eukaryota, Metazoa, Chordata, Actinopteri, Salmoniformes, Salmonidae. The record is from RefSeq and is a predicted model, not a curated record. The transcript has 26 exons.
AAGUUCGCCCUGCUUUGAGUCACGUGGUUUAAGAAAAUGGCUUCUUGAAACGAAUUUUGUCAAAUGUGUUGCUAAAAGUAGAAAUUAUAGCUACCUAAAACUGAAUGCGAGUGUUAAUAUUGGACUGAAGGCACCAAAGUCAACCGAACAACAUGCCUCCUCGGAAAAAGCAGGAGAACAGAGGCACCGAUGAUUGUCCCAGGAAACGACGACGAGCUCAGGAAGAGGGCAAUGUCGUCAUCUCAGACAGAGACGAGGAUGAAGACUUCAGACCGACAUCAUCAUCAUCAAGAGGGGAGCGCAAACGGGAGAAGGAGAGUAGAACACGAACAAACGAGAUGACAGAGGAGGAGAUGCUGGACCUGGCCAUGAGACUGAGUAAACAGGAGGCCAGCAGCGCUGCUCUCCGGCAACGACAGGAGGAAGAGGCCGUGAGGAAGGCCAUCGCUGAAAGCCUCUAUGCAGACAGCCCUACUCAUCCCCACUCAGAAUCUUCGCUCGGGUCAGGGGGCCCUACACAACAAUGUCAAAAUUCUCCUCCAGAGGGAGAGAGCAGCAUACAGCCCCCCAGGUGUAAACUCUCCUACCCUAACCAUGGUGUGGCUGACAGGGAGGGAGCCUGCGGUGGAGGUGUUCAUGUAGAGGUGGCUCCCUCAGACAGGAGGAGGAAGGGGAAGAAGGAGGGAAGCCCAUCCCAGUCCUCCCCCCUCAGCCAAGCUUCCACCUCAGUGCCUCUCCCAUCCUCACAGGAAGAGGGGUCUUCUCAGAGGAACCUUUUCGGAGACCGCUCAGCCAAGGCAAUUGAAUCUCAGGACUACAACAACUCCACAAAGAGUGACUCCCAGUCCCAACUCAGGAUCAAGUCCCCUGGUUUCCCUUCCACUACGGCUCCCCAAGCCAACAAACCUGUCCUGUGCCUGGAGAAGCUUAGCCAGGACCUCCUAGUAGACUGUCAGGCCUCUGGGUUCCUACUAAAGGGUCAUCCCAGCUUAACGCUUCCCACAAAGUCCCAGAAAUCUCAAUCUUAUCAGCCCAAGAGCCCCACAUUCUCCAAUACCCCUGUGUUUUCCAAAACAGAGAGAGGUGUGGAACCAGGCCAAAGUAGUCCCUCCUUUCCUAAACGUGCCAUGUUCUCUAAUUGUGAUUCAGGAGAGGAAGAAAAAGAGGCCAGUCCCACCAUUCCUAAAAGCCUGGUCUUUUUCAAGACUGAUAGAGGAAAGGCAGAGGAACAAGGGAGUCCAACUUCUCCUAAAAGCACCAUGUUCUCUAAGACUGAAAGAGGACCAGAAGAGAAAGAGACCUUCUCUGGAAGUCCAGUCUUUCCCAGAACUGAUCAGAUAAGGGACCAGGGUCCACAGAGCUGUGUUGAAAGUGUCUCUGCAACAGGAGACUAUGAGGAUGGAGACAGAGAUGAUGCUGUGAAGAGCAGGGAUGCCUCCGAGUGCCUUCCACCAUGCCCCAGAACAACCCUGUCCCUGAACAAGAGAUUUGUGCCUAUAAGGAAGACUGCUGGAGUUUCAGACAAAGUUGUUGACCAAGAGGAACGCGAGGGUGAAUCCUCGCAGAGAACUGUAAACAGGAUUAGCAUGCCUGCAAAGUUGGCUGCAGAAGAAGACCUUAAUUCAGAGGAACUUACAUUGGCUUUGGAGACUCAGCCAAUGCAGGAGUUAACCAGUAAUAUGGCGCUACGCUGGUCAGAUGAUGACGAAGAGGAAAAUGGUCCUGAAAAGUCAGCUCACUCGCCCAGCCCAGUCUUCCCACAGGAGAAUGACCUCCCUCAGCCAAGCAACCAGGGUCUCUCCCCAAACACCCACGACCACCGUUCCCCCCAACACAAACACAGCCCCUGCCUCGUCCCCAAGAAACGCACUCACAACUUCGAAGGCGCCGCGUGCGAGGAGGGGGAGAGCCAGUCCAAGUGCAUCCGGAAGAAGUUCACCUUAAAGGGCAUGUAUGGAGCCCCCUGUCCCUCUCUUCUCAGACAGGCUGCAGGUAGGAGCCAGGAUGAGGCCAAAGGCGGAAGCACCUCUUCCCACCAGCCCCUGGCCUCCUCCAGCCGCCUCUCUCCCCCCACAGACGGCCAGGGUUAUGGGGGAGUGGUGCGCUACUAUUGGGGUGUGCCUUUCUGUCCACUGGGGCAGAACCCAGACGCCUACACACAGGUGAUCCUGUCCCAGCUGGAGGUGUAUGAGAAGAGCCUGAAGGAGGCCCAGAGGGGUCUGCUGAGGAAGGCAGGCUGGGGGGAGCCAGUCCUCCCUGGGCCCCCAGAGAAACCCUUCUCCAGGAGGGGACGCCUCGAGAGACGCAGGGCCCCACGACUCAUGGAAGAAGAGGAGAGAGGGGGAAAACGUCAGGAAGAGCUAGUGGAGGUGGUAGAAGAUGAUGAUGAAGAUGAGGGAGAGAAGAGGAAAUCUCCCUCCCCUGUUUUUCAUGCAGAUACCAGUCAGCUAAUUCUACUUCAACGGAGACUUGGCCUUAGAAGAAAAGAGGAAAGACUAGCAGAAAAACAACCACCUGACUUACUGGAGGAGAGGGAGGAAGACGAGAAGGAAGAAAAGAUGGAUGAUAAAGAGGGUGGAGAGAAGAGGGAGGAGGAAGAAGUGGAUGUCAGAGGCUUACAAGUUCCAGAGACCCAACUCAGUGACGACAGCACUCAAGACCUCAUGGUCACCAGCCCUGCACAGCCCCAGCCAGAGAGCCAGUCCCUGCCUCAGAUCCAGACCUUUCUUUCAUCACCCCGUCCUCUGGAACAGCGUGAAGAGGGGAUGUUGGUGGUUGGAGAGGAGGAGGGGCGGAGGAGUAGCCCUGUGGGGAUCCCUGCUGUAGGAGAGGAUGUUCGGAUGGAGGAGGAUAUCCCAGAGCCUGCCUUCCCUCGGAGCCCCAACAUGGACUGUCCCAUGUGCAUGCGUCUCUUCCCCCUGACGGAGAUUGAGAUGCACGCUGCCUACUGUGACGGUACCACCGGUAUCAUGGAGGAGGAAAUGGCAGAGGAGAGCCACUCGCAGGUUUCAGUCAAGGCUCGUAGGAAGAGGACCAGAAGGGGUGAGAACAUUGGAGAGGAGCAGCCCAGCUCUUCUGGCUCUGGCAAGUAAGUAGGGUGGUACAGGGAGAGAAGUGCUUCCUGUGUCAGCAACUAUUUCCUCUCAAGUACCAUGAGAAGCAUGUAGAGGACUGCAUCAAGAACAAAGAGUUCUCCAAGGCUGCACCCAGAGACGGACAGAGUGGAGACUUUCUGAGUGCUCUGGACCAGACAGAGCAUAUAUAUUCAGGGACUGCUGAGGCCAAACCAUGUGAUACUACCAUCAAUAACCAACAAAGUGGCCUGAUUGAUGAUCUGGACACAGCAGAAUCUGGGGGAAGAGGAGACUUCAGCGCCCCAGGUUUCAGAGGGAAAGUGUCUCCCAGCCUUUCCGUCUCUGAGUAGGACGAGGACCUAGGGGAGGUGUCAUCUCACCUGCAGAAAGACCUGAAUAAAUUACUGGGCAAAGACACCAAAAGGCUCCUCUUAAGAUGCUUCCCACCUUUGUGAGGACCACACCUAAUGGAGCAGUUAGGAGUGGAGGAUCAGCAGCAUGAAAGAUGUUUACACCAUCCAUGAGGAGGUUGAUACGUCUGGAAAGAGUGUCUGCAGCCUUUCUGUCGCUCUGUGGAGAAGCUGCGGGAGGUGUCGUCUCGCCUCAGGAAGGACCUGAUCAUAAGGUGGGACAAACACACAAACCGCCGAGCGGCAGUCAAGAUGCUGCCCACUUUUGUGAGGUCUACACUUGAUGGCACAGGAAAAUGCCACAGGCACUAUCUGAUGUGUGGAGACAUUUCACUGCAGCUAAUGUAGAAGGAAAAGCUGUGUACAUUUGCAAAUACUGUGCCAAAUCAUAUGUGAAGAAUGCAACAAAGAUGCACAAUCAUCUGGCCAAGUGCAUAAAGUUCCCUUAGCGCUCACAACAAGCUACCUCUGACAAAAAUCCCUCUACAUCUAUUCGAGUGGUUUUACCACAUUGCGGCCUGCCUGGCUGAGUUCCUGGAGCUGAAGGAUCAGACGCUACCUCUGGGCUGUACCUUCUCCUUCGAGCAGAAAGACAUCGACAAGAGUAUCCUGAUCCGUUGGACCAAAGGCUUUCUUUAACUGUUCAGGAGUGGACGUGGUCAGGCUACUGAGAGAAGCCAUCCACAGCAGAGAGUUGCAAUGGUGAAUGACACUGUGGGUACCAUGAUGAGUUGUGGAUACAGGGACCAGAGCUGUGAGAUUGACAUGAUCAUUGCUUCAGUAAGCAGCUCCAGGAGACCGUAAGAAUCCUGGUCCCUAAGUGUGACAUCACUUUCCUCGUCUCGGAGGAUGGCAGUGGAAAAGGGCACUGCCAUGGUAAUGGCGGUGGCACAGAAGCUGGCCAUAUCGCCCCGACUGUUAGAAGACAGCAGAGGAGGAUGAGGAAGAUGGAAAUGAAUAUGUUAGGUCAGAGGAGGCAUACUGGAAAGACCACUUGAAAUGCAGCACCAUAAAAAUGUCCCCCUCAAAUGCUUUUGUUGUACGAUACAUACAGUGCCUUGCGAAAGUAUUCGGCCCCCUUGAACUUUGCGACCUUUUGCCACAUUUCAGGCUUCAAACAUAAAGAUAUAAAACUGUAUUUUUUUGUGAAGAAUCAACAACAAGUGGGACACAAUCAUGAAGUGGAACAACAUUUAUUGGAUAUUUCAAACUUUUUUAACAAAUCAAAAACUGAAAAAUU